AGUAUUUUGACUGUGCAAAGGUAGCAUAAUCAUUAGUCUUUUAAUUGAAGGCUGGAAUGAAUGGUUGGACGAAAUAUUAACUGUUUCAUAUUAAAUUAUUAUAGAAUUUUAUUUUUUAGUAAAAAAGCUAAAAUUUAUUUAAAAGACGAGAAGACCCUAUAAAUCUUUAUAUUUAUUAAUUAUUAAUUCAUUAGAUUAUAAAUAAUUUUUAUUUAAAAUAAUAUUUUAUUGGGGUGAUAUUAAAAUUUAAUAAACUU
This 257-nucleotide ribosomal RNA is filed under the name Lipoptena mazamae. RNAcentral describes it as "partial 16S ribosomal RNA". The record is from RNAcentral. Lineage: Eukaryota; Metazoa; Arthropoda; Insecta; Diptera; Hippoboscidae.